AUUAAAAUAUUCUUAUCGUUUUUUUAUGUCAACGAAAUAGUCCCUCCUCAUCGUUUCUUUCUGUCAACGAAAUCAUCCCUCCCUAUAUUUUUAGAAAUCUAUUAAAACGUCCUUAUUGUUUCUUUUUGUCAACCAAAUAGUCCCUAUCUUUUCUCAGAUCUAUUAAAACGUCCUUAUCGUUUCUUUUUGUCAACGAAAUAGUCCCUGUCUUUUCUUUCGUCCUCCUCCUCCU
RNAcentral lists this long non-coding RNA (232 nucleotides) under Manihot esculenta (cassava). RNAcentral describes it as "long non-coding RNA (MESC_LNC003364)". Lineage: Eukaryota; Viridiplantae; Streptophyta; Magnoliopsida; Malpighiales; Euphorbiaceae. The record is from RNAcentral.